This 481-nucleotide ribosomal RNA is filed under the name uncultured bacterium. RNAcentral describes it as "bacterial SSU rRNA". It matches the Rfam family "Bacterial small subunit ribosomal RNA", at positions 30 to 507 of the family's 1533-position model. The record is from RNAcentral.
UUGAACGCUGGCGGCAUGCCUUACACAUGCAAGUCGAACGGCAGCACGGGAGCAAUCCUGGUGGCGAGUGGCGAACGGGUGAGUAAUAUAUCGGAACGUGCCCAGUCGUGGGGGAUAACGUAGCGAAAGCUACGCUAAUACCGCAUACGAUCUAUGGAUGAAAGCGGGGGAUCGCAAGACCUCGCGCGAUUGGAGCGGCCGAUAUCAGAUUAGGUAGUUGGUGAGGUAAAGGCUCACCAAGCCGACGAUCUGUAGCUGGUCUGAGAGGACGACCAGCCACACUGGGACUGAGACACGGCCCAGACUCCUACGGGAGGCAGCAGUGGGAAUUUUGGACAAUGGGCGCAAGCCUGAUCCAGCAAUGCCGCGUGCAGGAUGAAGGCCUUCGGGUUGUAAACUGCUUUGUACGGAACGAAACGGUGAGCNCUAAUACAGUUUGCUAAUGACGGUACCGUAAGAAUAAGCACCGGCUAACUACGUG